RNAcentral lists this transfer RNA (75 nucleotides) under Olsenella profusa. RNAcentral describes it as "tRNA-Gln(ttg)". It matches the Rfam family "tRNA". Rfam says of the family: Transfer RNA (tRNA) molecules are approximately 80 nucleotides in length. RNAcentral also lists the same sequence under 3 other names. The record is from RNAcentral. Lineage: Bacteria; Bacillati; Actinomycetota; Coriobacteriia; Coriobacteriales; Atopobiaceae.
UGGGGCAUCGUCCAGUGGUCAGGACACGGGUUUUUGGUGCCUGGAACCUAGGUUCGAAUCCUAGUGCCCCAGCCA